Molecule: long non-coding RNA, 1047 nt
Filed under: Pogona vitticeps (central bearded dragon)
Lineage: Eukaryota; Metazoa; Chordata; Lepidosauria; Squamata; Agamidae
Description: lncRNA (ENSPVIG00000003746.1)
Source: RNAcentral
GAAGAAGAUUAUUGCAAGAGGUCCCAUCUAUGGUGGUCAGGAGCACAGUUAAUUUGCAUUUUGGUUUAUGUAUUUUGGUUUAUGUUGUAAUUUAAAAAAAAGAAUCCUACUUACAGUAUGCCUACACAAAAAGUGUAAAUUGAAGUGGCCAGUUCCACAAAGUCAAGAGCUGUAUUCCUCAUUAUGCACCAGUUGUGCUCCUUUGCUAUGUGACAGGGAAUAUAAACCUUGACUUCUGAACUAGCAGCAAAUUGUCAGUGCAGUUGAUGGUAGUUGACUUACACUGCUGUGCAUAAAUGGUAGGAUUCUCACCUCUCUGUGUGUCUGAGACAGAUGGUGCAGAGGCUCAGGGGUGGAUGAAUUUCAAGGGGGACAUAUUUAUUCCAGACAUAGCUCAGAAGCUUGGGAAAUUAUGGGAAAGACAAGAGUGUUUCUGAGCAUGACUAAAUGGUAUGGUUGGAAGCCAUCUCACAAGGUUUACCAGGGUGACAGCAUCCCAUUCUUGAAUUUUCAGGUUCGAAGCCUGACACCUCCAGAUGGACCCCAGAAUCUGAAAUCAAAACCUCCAAAUCUGCUUUUCACUUUCCCGUCUACGGCAACACAAUGACAUAUAGUUUGAAGAAAUUACUUUCAUGGAUCAAAAUAUCCAGAAUCUUUGCCAGAAUGGCCCCCUAUCUAUGGUGACUGCAGGAUUCAUGGAUUUGUCAUCCAAAACAAACUAACUAACUAACUAACAAAAAAAAUCAACAAAAAAUCUUUUCUACAGAGUUUGAAAAAGUUACUCUUUUGACCUGCCCUGUCCAGCCCUUCUGUCGAGUGUACAAGCUGGGAGCUGUAGUACAAAAAAAGGAUGUUUUCAAACUCUGCUUUCCCCAACUGUGCUGAACACAAGAGGUUUUGCUCAUUUUGUGUCCCAAGUCGAAAUUUGAAGUACUGUAUAAGUUCUUGAAACGUAGAGCCUAAAUCCAAAGCUAUGUCUUGUUCUUUUUAAGCCUCUUGUGAGCUUUAGAGCAAACUGAAGGGCCCCCAUCUCCAAGCAUUGCCCAA